Molecule: long non-coding RNA, 294 nt
Organism: Mustela lutreola (European mink)
Lineage: Eukaryota; Metazoa; Chordata; Mammalia; Carnivora; Mustelidae
Exons: 3
Source: RefSeq, a predicted model, not a curated record
UCAUUGCUUAUGCAUCCUACAGAGAUAAUCACCAAAGAGUGAAUUUUGGCUGAUAGACACUGAUGCCUGGAAGACCAAUCAAAAUGAAGAGCCAGAGUCAAGAUCCUGAUUCCCUUCCUGCCAUCACGUCCAAAGUAGCCUUUUUCAUGCAUCCAGCCUAGCUUGUUGCAUAGAAGAGAAAAAAUAAGAGCUCACCAGCCCUCUGAGAACUGUAUUUAACUCAGCCUCAACCAUCAUAAAAGAGCUCAGAUGUUGUGGUGGAAAGAGUACCAGAUUCAGAAUCAUCCUUAACAG